ACGAAGGGGGCGAGCGUUGUUCGGAGUUACUGGGCGUAAAGGGCGCGUAGGCGGCGCUCCAAGUUAGGCGUGAAAGCCCCGGGCUCAACCUGGGAAUUGCGCUUAAGACUGGAGUGCUCGAGUGCGGGAGAGGUGAGUGGAAUUCCCAGUGUAGAGGUGAAAUUCGUAGAUAUUGGGAAGAACACCAGUGGCGAAGGCGGCUCACUGGCCCGCAACUGACGCUGAGGCGCGAAAGCGUGGGGAGCAAACAGGAUUAGAUACCCUGGUAGUCCACGCUGUAAACGAUGAGUGCUAGACGUUGGGAGACUCAGUCUCUUGGUGUCGCAGCUAACGCAUGAAGCACUCCGCCUGGGGAGUACGGCCGCAAGGUUA
Molecule: ribosomal RNA, 372 nt
Filed under: uncultured bacterium
Lineage: Bacteria
Description: bacterial SSU rRNA
Rfam family: Bacterial small subunit ribosomal RNA
Source: RNAcentral